This 465-nucleotide ribosomal RNA is filed under the name Vreelandella stevensii. RNAcentral describes it as "partial 16S ribosomal RNA". It matches the Rfam family "Bacterial small subunit ribosomal RNA", at positions 338 to 795 of the family's 1533-position model. The record is from RNAcentral. Lineage: Bacteria; Pseudomonadati; Pseudomonadota; Gammaproteobacteria; Oceanospirillales; Halomonadaceae.
CCUACGGGGGGCUGCAGUGGGGAAUAUUGGACAAUGGGGGCAACCCUGAUCCAGCCAUGCCGCGUGUGUGAAGAAGGCCCUCGGGUUGUAAAGCACUUUCAGUGAGGAAGAACGCCUGGUGGUUAAUACCCAUCAGGAAAGACAUCACUCACAGAAGAAGCACCGGCUAACUCCGUGCCAGCAGCCGCGGUAAUACGGAGGGUGCGAGCGUUAAUCGGAAUUACUGGGCGUAAAGCGCGCAUAGGUGGCUUGAUAAGCCGGUUGUGAAAGCCCCGGGCUCAACCUGGGAACGGCAUCCGGAACUGUCAAGCUAGAGUGCAGGAGAGGAAGGUAGAAUUCCCGGUGUAGCGGUGAAAUGCGUAGAGAUCGGGAGGAAUACCAGUGGCGAAGGCGGCCUUCUGGACUGACACUGACACUGAGGUGCGAAAGCGUGGGUAGCAAACAGGAUUAGAUACCCCUGUAGUC